This is a non-coding RNA of Schistocephalus solidus, 73 nucleotides long. The record is from Rfam. NCBI's taxonomy places the organism in Eukaryota, Metazoa, Platyhelminthes, Cestoda, Diphyllobothriidea, Diphyllobothriidae.
GGUUCGGUGGUGUAGUGGUCAUCACGUCUGCUUUACACGCAGAAGGUCCCCGGUUCGAACCCGGGUCGAACCA